CGCGUAGGCGGACGAUCAAGUCAGGGGUGAAAGCCCCCGGCUCAACCGGGGAAGUGCCUCUGAUACUGGUCGUCUCGAGGGAGGUAGGGGCGUGCGGAACUUCCGGUGGAGCGGUGAAAUGCGUAGAUAUCGGAAGGAACACCGGUGGCGAAAGCGGCGCGCUGGACCUCUUCUGACGCUGAGGCGCGAAAGCCAGGGGAGCGAAAG
This 207-nucleotide ribosomal RNA is filed under the name uncultured bacterium. Its description in RNAcentral is "partial 16S ribosomal RNA". It matches the Rfam family "Bacterial small subunit ribosomal RNA", at positions 568 to 774 of the family's 1533-position model. The record is from RNAcentral.